Molecule: ribosomal RNA, 252 nt
Filed under: uncultured bacterium
Lineage: Bacteria
Description: partial 16S ribosomal RNA
Rfam family: Bacterial small subunit ribosomal RNA
Source: RNAcentral
UACAGAGGUCCCGAGCGUUGUUCGGAUUCAUUGGGCGUAAGGGUGCGUAGGCGGCGGGGCAAGUCUGAUGUGAAAUCCCGGGGCUCAACCCCGGAACUGCAUUGGAUACUGCCUUGCUUGAGUACUGGAGAGGAGACUGGAAUUUACGGUGUAGCAGUGAAAUGCGUAGAGAUCGUAAGGAAGGCCAGUGGCGAAGGCGAGUCUCUGGACAGUAACUGACGCUGAGGCACGAAGGCCAGGGGAGCAAACGGG